RNAcentral lists this ribosomal RNA (475 nucleotides) under Pectobacterium brasiliense. RNAcentral describes it as "16S-23S intergenic spacer region". The stretch from base 333 to 475 matches the Rfam family "Salmonella enterica Typhi npcRNA 44". The record is from RNAcentral. Lineage: Bacteria; Pseudomonadati; Pseudomonadota; Gammaproteobacteria; Enterobacterales; Pectobacteriaceae.
ACCAAGAAGAUGUGCGUUGAGUGAAGUGCUCACACAGAUUGUCUGAUGAAAAUAACGAGCAGAAAUACCUUAAUAGGCUUGUAGCUCAGGUGGUUAGAGCGCACCCCUGAUAAGGGUGAGGUCGGUGGUUCAAGUCCACUCAGGCCUACCAACUCUUCCGUGAGUGGUAUCUAAGGUAUCUGUAAGCAACGAUGGGGUUAUAGCUCAGCUGGGAGAGCGCCUGCCUUGCACGCAGGAGGUCUGCGGUUCGAUCCCGCAUAGCUCCACCAUCACUACUCGCUGUAUAGAAAAUUUCAGAGUGUACCUGUUUGGGUGCACUGCGAAGUUUUGCUCUUUAACAAUCUGGAACAAGCUGAAAAUUGAAACAUGACAGCUGAACAAUUAUGACCGCCUUCGGGUGUGUCGUGAUGAAUCAGUCUGUCAAUGAGUCUCUCAAAUAAUCGCAGCGCGAUGAUGAAUCAAUCGAAACAUCUUC